This 149-nucleotide unclassified non-coding RNA is filed under the name uncultured Capnobotryella. RNAcentral describes it as "sequence contains ITS1". The record is from RNAcentral. Lineage: Eukaryota; Fungi; Ascomycota.
CCGAGUGAGGGCUCACGCCCGACCUCCAACCCUUUGUCGAUUUCUAUCUGUUGCCUCGGGGGGCGACCCGGCCGUCCGCGCCCGGGAGUCCCCCAGAGGACCAAUCAACUCUGCAUCUUUGCGUCGAGUAUUGAAUAAUAAAUCAAUCA